CCAGACUCCUAAGGGAGGCGGCAGUGGGGAAUAUUGGGCAAUGGGAACAAGCUUGGUCCACCCAUACGGGGUGGGGGAAGAAGCCCUACGGGUGGUAAACCCUUUUUGUUGGGAAAGAAAUCCUGCAGGUUAAUACCUGGUUGGGAUGACGGUACCCGCAGAAUAAGCACCGGCUAACUUCGUGCCAGCAGCCGCGGUAAUACGAAGGGUGCAAGCGUUAAUCGGAAUUACUGGGCGUAAAGCGUGCGUAGGCGGUUAUUUAAGUCCGUUGUGAAAUCCCUGGGCUCAACCUGGGAACUGCAUUGGAUACUGGGUUAGCUAGAAUGUGGUAGAGGGUGGUGGAAUUCCAGGUGUAGCAGUGAUUUGGAAGAGAUCUGGAGGAACACCCAUGGCGAAGGCAGCCACCUGGCCCAACACUGACCGUUAAGCCGAAAAAG
This 437-nucleotide ribosomal RNA is filed under the name Stenotrophomonas sp. 5-3-A. RNAcentral's name for it is "bacterial SSU rRNA". It matches the Rfam family "Bacterial small subunit ribosomal RNA", at positions 331 to 759 of the family's 1533-position model. Lineage: Bacteria; Pseudomonadati; Pseudomonadota; Gammaproteobacteria; Lysobacterales; Lysobacteraceae. The record is from RNAcentral.